Molecule: ribosomal RNA, 1882 nt
Filed under: Rhodococcus rhodochrous
Lineage: Bacteria; Bacillati; Actinomycetota; Actinomycetes; Mycobacteriales; Nocardiaceae
Description: bacterial LSU rRNA
Rfam family: Bacterial large subunit ribosomal RNA
Source: RNAcentral
GUUGUGGGACUUUUCAGGCUGCUCUGCCGAGCAGCCGGCGUUACAAGAAGGUAUAGACGAACUGGAUUGAAAGCCAGGUCAUAGAGGGUGCCAACCCCGUAGUCGAAAUGCCUCUCUUGGCGCGAAGAGUAUCCUAAGUAGCACGGGGCCCGUGAAAUCCCGUGUGAAUCUGUCAGGACCACCUGAUAAGCCUAAAUACUCCCAGAUGACCGAUAGCGGACAAGUACCGUGAGGGAAAGGUGAAAAGUACCCCGGGAGGGGAGUGAAAUAGUACCUGAAACCGUGCGCUUACAAUCCGUCAGAGCCUUCGAACACUUCGGUGUUGGGGGUGAUGGCGUGCCUUUUGAAGAAUGAGCCUGCGAGUUAGUGGCAUGUCGCGAGGUUAACCCGUGUGGGGUAGCCGUAGCGAAAGCGAGUCCGAAUAGGGCGAGUCAGUGGCAUGUUCUAGACCCGAAGCGGAGUGAUCUACCCAUGGCCAGGGUGAAGCGACGGUAAGACGUCGUGGAGGCCCGAACCCACUUAGGUUAAAAACUGAGGGGAUGAGUUGUGGGUAGGGGUGAAAGGCCAAUCAAACUCCGUGAUAGCUGGUUCUCCCCGAAAUGCAUUUAGGUGCAGCGUCGCGUGUUUCUCACCGGAGGUAGAGCUACUGGAUGGUCUAGGGGGCCCACAAGCUUACCGAAAUCAGCCAAACUCCGAAUGCCGGUGAGUGAGAGCGCGGCAGUGAGACUGCGGGGGAUAAGCUUCGUAGUCGAGAGGGAAACAGCCCAGAUCGCCGGCUAAGGCCCCUAAGCGUGUACUAAGUGGAAAAGGAUGUGGGAUCGCUGAGACAACCAGGAGGUUGGCUUAGAAGCAGCCACCCUUGAAAGAGUGCGUAAUAGCUCACUGGUCAAGUGGUCCUGCGCCGACAAUGUAGCGGGGCUCAAGUACACCGCCGAAGCCGCGGCAUUCACAUAACACCCCGGAAGGGUUACGGCUUUUCCGGCAGUGGUGUGGAUGGGUAGGGGAGCGUCGUGUGGCCGUAGAAGCGCCGGAGUGAUCCAGGUGUGGAGGCCACGCGAGUGAGAAUGCAGGCAUGAGUAGCGAAAGACGAGUGAGAAACUCGUCCGCCGGAUGACCAAGGGUUCCUGGGCCAGGUUAAUCCGCCCAGGGUGAGUCGGGACCUAAGGCGAGGCCGACAGGCGUAGUCGAUGGACAACGGGUUGAUAUUCCCGUACCCGUGUAUCCGCGCCCAAUGGCGAAUCAGUUGUGCUAACCGUCCAAAAGUCUCCGGUGUUCCUUCGGGAACUGUGGGGAUGGCUGCACGGGACCCUGAUUGUAGUAGUCAAGCGAUGGGGUGACGCAGGAAGGUAGCUGGGCCAGGUGAUGGAAUACCUGGUGUAAGCCGGUAGGGCGAAUGGUAGGCAAAUCCGCCAUUCAUCAAGCCUGAGAGGUGAUGCGUACCCGUUGAGGGGAAUUCAGUGAUCCUAUGCUGCCGAGAAAAGCCUCUAGUGAGUUGGUACACGGCCCGUACCCCAAACCGACACAGGUGGUCAGGUAGAGAAUACCAAGGCGCUUGAGAGAACUCGGGUGAAGGAACUAGGCAAAAUGGUGCCGUAACUUCGGGAGAAGGCACGCUGAUAUGUAGGUGAGGUCCCUCGCGGAUGGAGCUGAAAUCAGUCGAAGAUACCAGCUGGCUGCAACUGUUUAUUAAAAACACAGCACUGUGCAAACACGAAAGUGGACGUAUACGGUGUGACGCCUGCCCGGUGCCGGAAGGUUAAUUGAUGGGGUUAGCGCAAGCGAAGCUCUUGAUCGAAGCCCCGGUAAACGGCGGCCGUAACAAUAACGGUCCUAAGGUAGCGAAAUUCCUUGUCGGGUAAGUUCCGACCUGCACGAAUGGCGU